Molecule: long non-coding RNA, 434 nt
Organism: Hydractinia symbiolongicarpus
Lineage: Eukaryota; Metazoa; Cnidaria; Hydrozoa; Anthoathecata; Hydractiniidae
Exons: 2
Source: RefSeq, a predicted model, not a curated record
UCGUGUAUUUUACAGACCUAACACAAAUACAUAGUUUAUACCAAGUCCUGAUAAUAAUUGGCUUAGCUGGCAUGCUAUUUCUCUUUAAUAUUUCGAGUUGGAAAGCUUGUACCUUUUCUUUGAAGGCACACUAUAUUAUUUGAACAUUUAUAAUGCGCAAAAACGUGAUAUAUUUAUGGCUUCAUUAAAAAGAAGAUUUUAAAGUACCAAAUUAUCAGCUUGAAUUGGCAUGUUUGUGGUAUCCUUUUCAUACAGCAGAAGAAAAGUGAGUUGCGAAGAUUGCGUACAAUGAGAGCGAGAGAUGUUAUCUUUCAAUACGUGAGAUAAAAAGAAGAAAGCGAAAUCUCACACCGCGUUGUUAUUGUUUUUCUGUGAAAAACUUGAAGCUGUUUUGUAAAUCUUGAUAAAGUUAAUAAAUUGUUUUUGUUUCUGUA